Brachypodium distachyon (stiff brome) is the source of this 631-nucleotide long non-coding RNA. RefSeq lists it as uncharacterized. Lineage: Eukaryota; Viridiplantae; Streptophyta; Magnoliopsida; Poales; Poaceae. The transcript has 2 exons. The record is from RefSeq and is a predicted model, not a curated record.
UUUUGACAGUCUUAUCCUUUAUUAUCCUUGAUUGAUCUAUUGCGAUCGAGCGCACAUCUGCCUGCAACUUCUCUAUCAUCGCCAACCGGCGCAAAGGCGCGCCGCGGACGCCUCCUCACCCGCCGAGCCGCCGCCUACUCUCCCUUCGCACGCGCCUCCGCCCCCUCACCAAGCUGCAAGAGAAGGUUGCCGCGCCCUGGCCGCCGGUAAGGCCUCCCACUCCUCCGUUCUGUCUGGGUCGUCGGCUAGGCCGUACUGCAAGUUCUUCGCUUCACUGGCGAAACCAAUCAAUCAGGCGGCUCAGAUAUGGAAGAAAAUAGCAUGGCAAAGGUCCCCAUCAUCCGCGAAAAUAUCACUGCAUGAAGGGUAAGUCCGGAUUAAACCUAGUGUGGAGUAAGAAAUAUCUCUGGAAAAGAGCAAGGAAGGUGAGGACGAAUUCUUGUUCAUAGACCAACAUGAUUGAUUAGAAGAAACCACAUAAUACUAUAUCAACCUUACUGAUUCAUUCGUGCUAAUUAACGCUAAGCUGACUUGUGGUUGCUUUAGAGCCUGACACUGUUAGAAAUUCAGAGUAUGCUUGCAGUGUGAUAGGAAUUGAACAUGUCCGUGUAAUCAAAUGAAAAGAGAUGCA